UGUCCCCCAACAUUCAUUUUCCUGGUCACUGCUACAAUUUCAACUCUCUUGACUGCAACAAUUCCAACUCUCUCACCUUUAUCACAGCACUGCACUUAUUGGGGUAAGUUACUUUGGAUGUCUUUGUAUGU
Long non-coding RNA from Haliotis rubra (blacklip abalone), 131 nucleotides. RefSeq lists it as uncharacterized. The transcript is spliced from 3 exons. The record is from RefSeq and is a predicted model, not a curated record. NCBI's taxonomy places the organism in Eukaryota, Metazoa, Mollusca, Gastropoda, Lepetellida, Haliotidae.